This 349-nucleotide small RNA is filed under the name Oryza sativa Japonica Group (Japanese rice). Its description in RNAcentral is "sRNA Os03g0356801". Lineage: Eukaryota; Viridiplantae; Streptophyta; Magnoliopsida; Poales; Poaceae. The record is from RNAcentral.
GUAAUCUUUCCACUCUUUUGUUCUUUCUUUCUUCCUGUUUCGUGUUGUUCAUGGAUCAUCUCUACGACUCUACACUCAUAGUAUUACGUUUGGGGAUGAUGGCUCUGGUUGAUUGGUAGUAAUUGGUAGUAUUCUCUAGUUUCAAGCUGUAGAAUUUCCGUGUGAGAUUAUUGGUCGGUGAACAUUUUGCACAACCCUGCAGUUUCCACUUUCUAGUUACAGAUCUGUGUGGGGGUUGAUAUGUAAUUGGAGUGUUAUGGGCGCUUCAUGGGUAUGGAUUGUUUUAGUUCAUUUUGGGCACUCCUCUGUACGUAGAGAGAAGGGGUCGAUCAAAAACGGAAGUUAAUUG